UGGCAGCUCCCUUUGUGCGGGGAACAAAGCCGGUCCCCGAGCCAACACGAGUCUAGCGCGGGAUCGGCGGCUGUCACAGGGGGAACGUCCUGGAGCGUCCGUCCCUGGCGCCGGGGAGGGAAGAGGUGCCUGUGCCCGCCUGGCUGCACAUGCCUGGGCAAGCCAGGCUGCGGGGACACGGCGUGGGAGCUCUGGUGGGACCAGCCUGAAGCAGCCCCUGGAGGUUUUGAGGCCAUGCCCUGCCCCGGCUCCAGGUAGACACAUUUUACCUCACUCCUGGGUCCCAUAAAGCCCUCCUGAACUCCAAGGAUCAAGCGGGCAAAUCCUUAAGAUGAGGAUGGGAAACAAAUGACGAGGGGAGAAGAUGUUUCAAGCCAAUCCCUUCUGGAGGUGGCAUUUAAGCAGAUGGAGGAGUGGAGCCGGUGCUGUCUGAGGAGGAUGUGAUGGAAAUGUGAAUAUGGAGAGGAUGCUCCGGCUGCCUCGUGGGAACCGGUGCCCUCAGAGAUCAUAAUAAAACAACAGCCUGUGGCCACUGA
Molecule: long non-coding RNA, 536 nt
Organism: Tyto alba (common barn owl)
Lineage: Eukaryota; Metazoa; Chordata; Aves; Strigiformes; Tytonidae
Exons: 2
Source: RefSeq, a predicted model, not a curated record